RNAcentral lists this ribosomal RNA (216 nucleotides) under Glomeromycotina sp. RNAcentral describes it as "partial small subunit ribosomal RNA". The stretch from base 75 to 216 matches the Rfam family "Eukaryotic small subunit ribosomal RNA", at positions 721 to 864 of the family's 1831-position model. Lineage: Eukaryota; Fungi; Glomeromycota. The record is from RNAcentral.
GGGUCAGUAGGUUGGUCGUGCCACCGGUACGUACUGGUCUCACUGAUUCCUCCCUCCUGAAGAACCGUAAUGCCAUUAAUUUGGUGUUGCGGGGAAACAGGACUGUUACUUUGAAAAAAUUAGAGUGUUUAAAGCAAGCUAACGCUUGAAUACAUUAGCAUGGAAUAAUGAAAUAGGACGAUCGAUCCUAUUUUGCUGAUUUCUAGGAUUGACGUA